GUCAUAAUAACAUCACGAAAGUACACAUUGGUGUAUUUAGCAACUUUCAGAUUAUACAUAUCACACACACAAGACGUUCAUCAAAGAUGUCACAGAAACCUAAUGAACAUUUACCUUUCUAUUACUAUUGUUGUAGUUUCCCAACAUUUCCAGUACAUCCCCCCCAAUAUACAUUCAACAAUUUUUAACAAUUUCCUACAUCUAAAAUCAGGUCUUUUGCCUGAUCCUCCUCCCGUUGGUAUCACCACCGUCUGAAAGUUGUGCCCACACACUUUUUGACUUCCCACCUCCACUGCUACUGUCAUCCUCGCAACCUGCCACAGUUUUAAGAAGCUCCGACUGAAGAGCGGGGCAAUUUUCUUUGAGGUACUCAAAGCCAUCUGAUUGCAUCACAGCAGAAAGAUUUUCAGCAGCAAAACUUAGGCAAACUGAUUUGAGCUCAGCGGCAUGGUAACGGUCUGCUAAAGCAAGAAUUUGUGCAACAGAGUUGAUAGAGAUAUCUUUGCAAAGAUGAGAU
RNAcentral lists this unclassified non-coding RNA (517 nucleotides) under Hevea brasiliensis (rubber tree). Lineage: Eukaryota; Viridiplantae; Streptophyta; Magnoliopsida; Malpighiales; Euphorbiaceae. The record is from RNAcentral.